RNAcentral lists this long non-coding RNA (884 nucleotides) under Nicotiana benthamiana. RNAcentral describes it as "long non-coding RNA (NBEN_LNC039085)". The record is from RNAcentral. Lineage: Eukaryota; Viridiplantae; Streptophyta; Magnoliopsida; Solanales; Solanaceae.
UUUGAUCAAGUUUUGAUUUGUUAGUCUAGUAUAAUUUCUAUUUGUUUGUGUUAGCUUUCCCUGAUUAGAUUUAUUGGAAUCCUUUAAUUGUUUGGCUUUGGGUCUGUUUGGAUUUGGGCAGUAAUUCUAAGAGGUUUCAGGGGCAAUUUGGGCAUAGGAAAAUGGCAAAUUUAUUAAAAAUGGUAAAUUCUGAAAUAAAGUAAGGGUAGUAUAGGAAUUGUAGGGGCAUAGAACAUCCUAGAAUAGGGCUCUAGUGCACAUUUCAAUAGAACUUAGGGAAUACUUGAAGAACAAGUUAGGAAAUUAAGGUCCAAAGUGAAAAAUGAGCAGGGGUAACAAAAGAAAAGAAAAAAUUUGAGGUUUGCCCUAGUUCUUGCCUAUAUAAAGGCAUUCAAUGCCUUGUGAAAAGGGCUAGAUUUUCCAGCUAAAGUAAAAAAGAAAAGAAAAAAUAUGAGGUUUGCCCUAGUUCUUGCCUAUAUAAAGGCAUUCAAUUCCUUGUGAAAGGGGGCUAGAUUUUUCAGCUCAAGAACUCACGAGAAAGAACUCUUUCAACCCUAAAAUUCAAGAACAAAAAUCAUAUUUCCCCUGCAUUUUCAAUUUUAGUUUGGUUCAACCUUUUCAGCUCAGGGAAUCCUAUAAGAAAAAUCCAAUUCUUCAUUUUUAUUCAGUUCUAUAUUUUUCUUCAGUUAUUCAAAAAAUACAAAAAAAGUAUAUAAAUAGAAAAAUUAGAAAACAACAAAAGGGAAAAGAUCAUUGUUUCAUUGAAUGAACAUGGAUUGAUCAGUGUUGGUUCAUAUUAAUUAUGGGUUUACUGGUUGGUAUUGGAUGCAAUUUCGAUUCAACUAGGUGCUAAUUGAGUUGGUCUGUUUGGAUUUUACUCCAAG